RNAcentral lists this long non-coding RNA (2362 nucleotides) under Volvox carteri. Its description in RNAcentral is "long non-coding RNA (VCAR_LNC003798)". Lineage: Eukaryota; Viridiplantae; Chlorophyta; Chlorophyceae; Chlamydomonadales; Volvocaceae. The record is from RNAcentral.
UGACUUAAAUGCUCGCAACAACGGUGGUACGACAGCAAGUGAACUCCAACAUACCGAGCAUCUGCACAACUCAGUCCCUCUCUCUCAAUAUCAUUUUAACGUCUCUUCGCUAAGGUAGCGAGUAGAGACAACCAAGAGCCAGCCAAACUACACCCCUCCCUUUCCCCCCCCUGGUGUAGUUUGGGGUGGGGCGAGCGACAAGACCACACAACCAACCCCCCUAGAGGUAACGCCCUGAGACCCCGGCUUCUAAAGUAAAUCGUCCUAGCAAUCGCAGGACCCGCUAAGGCGAGAAGCAGGCACUCAGUUGCGGGGCCGCACAUUGCGGUCGUGACGAUGAGGAUCAAGGUAUCGCUCCAGCACCGCCGGAGUCCGAAGCUGACUGAACUCCAUCAGGGCGGGAACUCCCGCACCGGCCGACGCAGCGGCCUGCAGGGCACCACGGCGGAAACUGUGCACAGUUUCCCCGUCGUACAACUGAGCAGCCCGCAGGUGUAGCCGUAACCGCGCGGCAAGAGUGGCGCUCUGCAGCGCUUCCGCCUUGAAAGCCCGCUGGUCAGCCGUCAGCGGGCGAAACAGCGUGUCUUGGACAGCGCUCCCAGGGGGGGCACCAGGCUGGGCACAAGACCACAUGUAAAAAGCCAGAGUACGCGGAAUGCAGAAAGGGGGGUCCUCACUGUUGGGCCGCAGCAGCACCGCGGGGCCACGCACCAGCCGAUAGGUCUUAGUUCCCCGCUGACGGAAGCAGAGGGUAGGACAUCCACCAGGACCCCAGGACCAUGGCGGAGGUAGCGGGAACCCAGAGUACGGCCGGUCGGGCUGCGAAGGUUCGACGAAGUCACCCACCCCCAGCUUCCCGAUAUCGUGACCCCUCUGGGCAGUCNNNNNNNNNNNNNNNNNNNNNNNNNNNNNNNNNNNNNNNNNNNNNNNNNNCACCUGUUUGGCCCGAUGGUGGAGAGCUAGACUGGCAACGCUACCCAUCAAGGCACGGAGGCGUCUGCCACACAGCCCCACCCUUUUCAGGCCGGGGCCCCAGGUCCCGGGCGGUGCGGAGAGAAAACCGAAGGCCCCGAGUUAUGCGGUCGAAGUAGUGUACAUUCUGUGGUAAGGGCAAGGCCCGACUAGGCCGAGAGUACGACGGAGCUGAUAGAAAGCGAGGACCCAAAGAAGCCAGAGACGUGGCUAGACUGAGACUGGCAGGCGAGCCGCAAGGCGGUGUGGCUGGGAUGUGGUGUGGCCUGAUUAAACAUUGGGAUCGGGUGUAAGGCUGGACGCAAAGGCCCACUUCACGCUAGUCCGGUACGGAGCGACGAGCAUUUACAUUCAAGCACUUACAGAGACUUAAAUGCUCGCAACAACGGUGGUACGACAGCAAGUGAACUCCAACAUACCGAGCAUCUGCACAACUCAGUCCCUCUCUCUCAAUAUCAUUUUAACGUCUCUUCGCUAAGGUAGCGAGUAGAGACAACCAAGAGCCAGCCAAACUACACCCCUCCCUUUCCCCCCCCUGGUGUAGUUUGGGGUGGGGCGAGCGACAAGACCACACAACCAACCCCCCUAGAGGUAACGCCCUGAGACCCCGGCUUCUAAAGUAAAUCGCCCUAGCAAUCGCAGGACCCGCUAAGGCGAGAAGCAGGCACUCAGUUGCGGGGCCGCACAUUGCGGUCGUGACGAUGAGGAUCAAGGUAUCGCUCCAGCACCGCCGGAGUCCGAAGCUGACUGAACUCCAUCAGGGCGGGAACUCCCGCACCGGCCGACGCAGCGGCCUGCAGGGCACCACGGCGGAAACUGUGCACAGUUUCCCCGUCGUACAACUGAGCAGCCCGCAGGUGUAGCCGUAACCGCGCGGCAAGAGUGGCGCUCUGCAGCGCUUCCGCCUUGAAAGCCCGCUGGUCAGCCGUCAGCGGGCGAAACAGCGUGUCUUGGACAGCGCUCCCAGGGGGGGCACCAGGCUGGGCACAAGACCACAUGUAAAAAGCCAGAGUACGCGGAAUGCAGAAAGGGGGGUCCUCACUGUUGGGCCGCAGCAGCACCGCGGGGCCACGCACCAGCCGAUAGGUCUUAGUUCCCCGCUGACGGAAGCAGAGGGUAGGACAUCCACCAGGACCCCAGGACCAUGGCGGAGGUAGCGGGAACCCAGAGUACGGCCGGUCGGGCUGCGAAGGUUCGACGAAGUCACCCACCCCCAGCUUCCCGAUAUCGUGACCCCUCUGGGCAGUCUGCCACAGGAGAAGCACGCACAACAGGUCCCGCAGGAAGACCAGUCGGGGCAAAGCUUCAUCAGUCACCACCACCUGCGACCACAAGUAACCCACGAGAGCACGGUACUUGUCAUAAGACAAGGGUACUGCCGAAACCUCGG